This 126-nucleotide small nucleolar RNA is filed under the name Castor canadensis (American beaver). Its description in RNAcentral is "Small nucleolar RNA SNORA40 (ENSCCNG00000008378.1)". It matches the Rfam family "Small nucleolar RNA SNORA40". Rfam says of the family: The snoRNA ACA 40 belongs to the H/ACA family of snoRNAs and guides the pseudouridylation of 28S rRNA subunit at position U4565. NB This family has a high threshold value to exclude a large number of closely related sequences that do not appear to have conserved H and ACA boxes, and may be pseudogenes. Lineage: Eukaryota; Metazoa; Chordata; Mammalia; Rodentia; Castoridae. The record is from Rfam by way of RNAcentral.
AUCACUUGUGUGUGUCUUUGUUUAACUUGUGAACAAAGACUCACAGAUUGUUGCAAAAAAAUAAAUCUUUUGCAACCCAGAGCUCAUUGUUCAUUGUGAGUUUUGAUACAUAUAAGAAGGAAGAUG